Long non-coding RNA from Triticum dicoccoides, 3880 nucleotides. RefSeq lists it as uncharacterized. The record is from RefSeq and is a predicted model, not a curated record. Lineage: Eukaryota; Viridiplantae; Streptophyta; Magnoliopsida; Poales; Poaceae. The transcript is spliced from 16 exons.
CCUUCACCCCCUCCGGCCAGAUCCGCCCACCGGCCGAGACCCUUACACUCGCCCGCGGCCAGGGUUUCGGGCGCCGCCAACAGCGGCGUGGCUCCGGUUGGUCCCGGCCUUGUCCUGCUCGAGGAGCAGGAGGAGGAGGGACGCACCUAGCCGGCCACCAAGGGCCUGCUCUGCUCUGCUCCUCUUCCUCCUCAACCACCUGAAGAACCACCACGCGGGCGGGCUGCUGCAGCAUCGGCUUCAACAGCGGUCGACAUCUCCACCACCGCGAUUUUAAGCACCGGCACCAUCACCGGCGUCGGCAACUACCUCAAGGAGAAGAUCCAAAAUGCAAAGCUCUCUCUGUUGGUGCUGCUGUUGGUCCGCGGUGGUGGUGAGAUGAAUCAAUAACUAGGAGAAUCUGCGAUGAGAUGAAGGACAAGCACAAACCUGCACUUGGGCCCCAACAGCCAAGACAAUGAAGGAGAUUUGUAGAUUGAAAUUAAGUUUCACAUGUCUAGCCGGCCACCAAGGGCUUGCUCUGCUCCUCUUCUUCCUCAACCACCACGCCGGCUGGCUGCUGCAGCAUUGACUUCAAUAGCGGUGACCCUCCCUUCCCCCAUUCCUUGCUUGCUGCGACAUUUUAGUUUCUUCCACUAGCUGCUAUUUUAGUCUGCUACUCCAAUCUGAUCCUACCCGUCCCGUGUAGCUUGGAGUACUUUGGGUUUCAGUUCAUCUUUUUUCUGCAUGGAUGGCACAGAGUGGAAAAAAAUAUGAGAGGGAGCAAUUUAGUUUCACAGAGAAUGAGAGAGACAUAUGCAGAUGGGUUCACGGCAAUGAUUUACACAUGUAUGGUUGGAUUGCAUGUUCGUAAACAUGCCAUCACCAGCGUCUGCAACUACCUCAAGGAGAAGAAACCAAAUGCAAAAGCAUGUCUUUGUUAUGAUCGAGCCGACAUACUCAGCCGUGGCCAGAUCCACACCGGCGUUUCUGCAUUGGUGCCGUCAUGGAGCUGCCUCCUUCUCCACGACCACGCAGCGGCAGAGGACUCCUCCGACCGCCACCGCCUCCUCCUCCUUCCACAUCCACACCCAUCCCUCCCCCUCCUCGUGCGCGAAACCCUAGCCUGCGGGCGGCCAUGGUGACCAAGCUCAUGAUGCGCAGCACCCUCUCCUCUCCUCCAAGAGCAAGAACAUGAACGUCCACAAUGUUUUGCUUUGCUCCGAUCUGGUCUGCUCUAUUUGGGUGAAGGAGAAGCUGCUGCGGGUGAAUUGGUGAAGAUGUCGCAAUGUCUAGGCGGGUAGUGGUGACGUUUCUUAUGAUGACAAUGGACCUGCUCUUCCACUACGUUGAUGUGGACCUCGCCACUGACCUCGCCCGGUCGGAGGAGCCCGCCAUGGACGCCUGCCGCGGCUGUGUUCGACGAGGAUGAGCCCCAGCGUCGCAAGAUCCAGCGCCUUCUCCCCGAUGACGGAAUCACUGUCAAGCACAUCAGUGAAGAUGUGGAUAUCUCUAGGCGGGUCGCAGCGACAUUCCUAAGGAUGACAAUGGCAGACUUAGUGACCAGCUCUUCGAUUGGCAGGGCCGCCUGUUCGACAACGCCAAUGGCCACCUCGAGUUCUGAGACAACACCUGAACGUUGUCGUGGCCUUGCAUGGGCAAUACCGGCCUCUGGACCGCCUCCAUCUCCCGCAUGGGCGCACUCUACUCCCUCAUCCUCCGUGAGGAGGAGAUAUACAUAGCUCACUAGGUGCACACCACCGGCAAGGAAGGCGACGACUAUGCUGCCACACGCGACAAGGACAUCGCCCUGUUGAUAUCGCCGAAGCUCUACCGCUACACCAAGGUGCUGGAUGCCGAGGACCAGAAGGUGGCGUGAAGGUGGUGCAACAUCUCUAUUGGGAGGCGGUGUGCAGCGACGAGGAGGUGACUGGCCGUUGCAAAGUGGAGGAGCUUCUCUGGCAGAUCGUCGCCAAGAGUUUGUGCAGUUUGCUCCCUCCCAUCUGGUUGUGUGAAGGGGUCCAGCCAAGGAGAAGCUGUUGUUGGUUCUUCCUCCUCCGUGGUGUACAUGUGGGAUUGGUAACUGGUUGUGGAUGAUGUUUUCAUGGCGCCACUUGACAUAUCCGAGGCAGCUUCCACAGGUGCCUCGCGCAGCUGCACCUCCCGGAUGGUGCUCCUUAGCUCGGUGCGCUCACUCGUUGGUGGGACGGCGCAGCUGUGCUUCUUGAGGCGACCUCUACCGUGUGAUGGCAGUGGUUGAAUGCACUGCAACCACGGCGGCGAUUGUGUCCUGCAUUGGCUACAACCUCUCUGCACAGGUGCCAUGGAGAUGUUGCUGAUGGUUCAAGGGCUAGUGCCGCUGCCAACGUAUUUAUCACAGUUUGCUCCAAUCUGAUCUCCUUGUGUGAAUGGUUACCUGAAUGAACUCUUAUAUAGUUUAAGAUGAACGAGUCAGACUCUGAAUGUGACCAGUCUUUUAAUUACCACACUACAUUUUUUGUUCUAAACUGGCUAAGAUUCUUGAUUAUACAGAGCUUGCCCUUAUGUAAAGAAUAAUAAGAUCUCUGACUUUUAUUUGAUUUAUGCAUAGCUAUAAGUUAGCUACCAAAUAAUACAGUGUGAGUGUUAGUUUUCUGUCAUAUAUGGAGUUCGUAUCAAAUGUAUGUUUGUUAUUUAAUGAAAUGAAACUGGGAAGACUGGCCAUGCCGUCAAAUGAUCCCCAUAUAGAACAUUACUUAAUUGCACUACAUGUUGCUCCCACACUUGGUUAAUUAUAAUUUCUUAUUAACUUAGUAACAGGAGGACUAUGCUAUGGUUGUAAAGGAAAAUAUGGUUGUGUGGCUAAUUACUUGUGGCUUACCGCAACCCCGAUGCGGCAACGUCUCCGGCGUGGUUGUGAUUCUUCAGGCGUCGUCCUCCUCUACCGCGUGACGGCAGUGGUUGACUGCACCACAACCACGGUGGGUUUGUACACGACAUCAGCCACAAUUCCUUCCGUUUGACAAUCCUCUCUGUAUUGGAUCAACGUCAACUUGUGACAAUCCCAUGGCACCGCCGGCUGUCUGCAACUAAGUUUGUGAAUGCAUUUCAUUCAGUUCUUGUGCUGGUAGAAUGCAGCCUUUUGGGAAUUCUGGACUUUCUGUUGCGGUCAUAUAUGGAUGUUAAAUGUAGUAUGUAUGCUGCUCUCAUUGGCGAGACCUGCCUGUUGGUUGUCCUUGGUUAUGACUCGCCUUGCUUCCGGCGCCGACAAGACGGUGCGGUUGUCGCCUCAUGACAUUGGCGUCACUUUCAAGUCCAUGACUGCCUCCUCGACUACCACUACUUAGGACUUGAGUGAGUAGGUGAAGAGAAAGGAAAAAGACCUGUUAAUCUUUUCCUUUUUCGUUGGAUGUUGGUCAAAUGGUUGAAGGCAGGGGGUAACUUGCUCGACACAUCGAAGCCACUGGAUGGACUAAGAGGGUACCGGUUGGUUCAACAGCCCGAGGAAGAAUAAUAUCCUGUCCAACUAGAGAUAACAAGUUUGGCCAGCAGUCAAGAGAUAUACUGAGGAGUUCCAGUUUCUAUGUGGCUGGGUGAAUGGACCAGGAUGUCGAUAAGGCCCAGGCGAAUCACAUGUGCUUGUGCUCUGAUAGGCAUUUCCAUGUUUAUUUUCCCUUUUUUGUAGGUUUUGGCCGAAUGGUGAUGUUGGUCUUCGGAGUUUGUAAAAUUUGGAUCGAAUGGCAAUGUUGGUCUUAGGGUGUGAUACAUCCAUACUGUUUUAAUAUUUGGAUUUAAAUUGUAUUGUGCGGCAUUGAGUUGGUAGUUUUGGUCAAUUUUAAGAGUUAGCAAACAGAUUGGAUUGGUUGUAUGUUGGUUGACUGGAUGUCGAAUCGAUAUUAUUACUGUUGCUAAUGAGUUUUUA